UACGGGGGGGGCAAGCGUUGUUCGGAAUUACUGGGCGUAAAGGGCUCGUAGGCGGCCAACUAAGUCAGACGUGAAAUCCCUCGGCUUAACCGGGGAACUGCAUCUGAUACUGGAUGGCUUGAGUUCGGGAGAGGGAUGCGGAAUUCCAGGUGUAGCGGUGAAAUGCGUAGAUAUCUGGAGGAACACCGGUGGCGAAGGCGGCAUCCUGGACCGACACUGACGCUGAGGCGCGAAAGCUAGGGGAGCGAACGGG
This 253-nucleotide ribosomal RNA is filed under the name uncultured bacterium. RNAcentral's name for it is "partial 16S ribosomal RNA". It matches the Rfam family "Bacterial small subunit ribosomal RNA", at positions 524 to 776 of the family's 1533-position model. The record is from RNAcentral.